AGUGAACGCUGGCGGUAGGCCUAACACAUGCAAGUCGAACGGCAGCACAGUAAGAGCUUGCUCUUACGGGUGGCGAGUGGCGGACGGGUGAGGAAUACAUCGGAAUCUACUUUUUCGUGGGGGAUAACGUAGGUAAACUUACGCUAAUACCGCAUACGACCUACGGGUGAAAGCAGUGGAUCUUCGGACCUUGCGCGAUUGAAUGAGCCGAUGUCGGAUUAGCUGGUUGGCGGGGUAAAGGCCCACCAAGUCGAGGAUCCGUAGCUUGUCUGAGAGGAUGAUCAGCCACACUGGAACUGAGACACGGUCCAGACUCCUGCGGGAGGCCGCAGUGGGGAAUAUUGGACAAUGGGCGCAAGCCUGAUCCAGCCAUACCGCGUGGGUGAAGAAGGCCUUCGGGUUGUAAAGCCCUUUUGUUGGGAGAGAAAAGCAGCAGGUUAAUACCCCGCUGUUCUGACGGUACCCAAAGAAUAAGCACCGGCUAACUUCGUG
This 492-nucleotide ribosomal RNA is filed under the name uncultured bacterium. RNAcentral describes it as "partial 16S ribosomal RNA". It matches the Rfam family "Bacterial small subunit ribosomal RNA", at positions 29 to 507 of the family's 1533-position model. The record is from RNAcentral.